GGAGAGCAGCUGAGUAGAGACACAGAUGGAAGUCUGAGUACUGUGGAAACCUUAGUUUCUACUGCUAUUUGCGGAAUAAUCCACUCAAUUUUUGGCGGCCAGCCAUUGUUGAUAUUAGGAGUUGCUGAACCCACUGUUAUAAUGUAUACAUAUUUGUACAAGUUCAGCAAAGGAAAAGCAGAGUUAGGCCAGAAAUUGUACUUGGCCUGGGCUGGUUGGGUUUGUGUUUGGACUGCACUUAUGCUUUUUCUGCUUGCAAUUUUUAAUGCCGGCAACAUCAUCACUAAAUUUACAAGAAUUGCUGGGGAGCUUUUUGGAAUGCUGAUCACAGUUCUUUUCUUUCAAGAGGCUAUCAAGGGACUUGUUAGUGAAUUCAAUAUUCCCAAACAUGAGAAUCCCCAAUUAGAAAAAUACCAAUUCCACUGGCUGUACGCAAAUGGAUUGCUUGCAAUUAUUUUCUCAUUUGGUUUGCUCGUCACUGCCCUUAAAAGCAGACAGGCAAGGUCAUGGCGAUAUGGCACAGGGUGGCUCCGAAGUUUUAUUGCUGACUAUGGGGUUCCCCUAAUGGUCUUGUUGUGGACCCUAAUGACUUAUAGUGUACCCAGCAAAGUUCCUGCUGGAGUUCCUAGGAGGCUACAUUGUCCACUUNUGGGAUUCUGUAUCAGCCUAUCAUUGGACUGUAAUCAAGGAUAUGGGGAAGGUUCCAGUGGUUUACAUCUUUGCUGCAAUUAUACCGGCCAUUAUGAUAGCGGGUCUAUACUUUUUUGACCACAGUGUAGCUUCACAGAUGGCACAACAAAAGGAGUUCAAUCUCAAGAAUCCAUCAGCUUACCAUUAUGAUGUUCUGUUGCUUGGAUUCAUGACUUUAAUUUGUGGCUUGCUUGGACUCCCUCCUUCAAAUGGUGUUCUUCCCCAAUCACCAAUGCACACUAAGAGCCUUGCAGUUCUUAAGAAGCAGUUGAUUCGAAAAAAGAUGGUACAAAGCGCC
This 988-nucleotide unclassified non-coding RNA is filed under the name Hevea brasiliensis (rubber tree). Lineage: Eukaryota; Viridiplantae; Streptophyta; Magnoliopsida; Malpighiales; Euphorbiaceae. The record is from RNAcentral.